This 283-nucleotide signal recognition particle RNA is filed under the name Phycisphaerales bacterium. RNAcentral describes it as "signal recognition particle sRNA large type". It matches the Rfam family "Bacterial large signal recognition particle RNA". Rfam says of the family: The signal recognition particle (SRP) is a universally conserved ribonucleoprotein involved in the co-translational targeting of proteins to membranes. Archaeal SRP consists of a 7S RNA and homologues of the eukaryotic SRP19 and SRP54 proteins. The record is from RNAcentral. Lineage: Bacteria; Pseudomonadati; Planctomycetota; Phycisphaerae; Phycisphaerales.
CCGUGCUAGGUGGGGCGCCAGCGGUGCCCUGACUCCCGCAAGGGACGACCCGUAAUCCGCUAUAGCGGGGCUGAAUCCCUCGUCGAGGGUCGUUUGCGACCGGUCUCCCCGUUGGGCCGGCGGUGAUGAAGGUUGGGUCCUCUGCAACGACGCGCCGUGAACCUGGUCAGGUCCGGAAGGAAGCAGCCAUAAGCGAGCUUGUGUCGUGUGCCGGAGGGUAGCCUGGCUGGAGCCGUCGUGCCCCCGCGGGCCCGGUGGCGGCGAUUCGACGCGAGGUGCACGG